CCUACGGGAGGCAGCAGUGAGGAAUAUUGGUCAAUGGCCGGAAGGCUGAACCAGCCAAGCCGCGUGAUGGAGGAAGGCGCAGAGCGUCGCAGACCUCUUUUGUCGGGGGACAAAAGGCCGGACUCGUCCGGUCCUGAGGGUACCCAGAGAAAAAGCAUAGGCUAACACCGUGCCAGCAGCGGCGGGAAUACGGGGGAUGCGAGCGUUAUCCGGAUUAAUUGGGUUAAAAGGGUGCGCAGGGGGGCCUUUAAGCCGGCGGUGAAAUCGCGGGGCUCAACCCCGCCGAGCCGUCGGAACUGGGGGCAUUGAGUGCGGCGGAGGCAUGCGGAAUGCGGGGUGUAGCGGUGAAAUGCAUAGAUAUCGCGCAGAACCCCGAUUGCGAAGGCAGCGUGCCGUGCCGCCACUGACGCUGAGGCACGAAAGCGCGGGGAUCGAACAGGAUUAGAUACCCCUGUAGUC
RNAcentral lists this ribosomal RNA (459 nucleotides) under uncultured bacterium. Its description in RNAcentral is "partial 16S ribosomal RNA". It matches the Rfam family "Bacterial small subunit ribosomal RNA", at positions 338 to 795 of the family's 1533-position model. The record is from RNAcentral.